UUUGCACAAGAGCAAAAACAUCUGCCUG
Molecule: non-coding RNA, 28 nt
Filed under: Homo sapiens (human)
Lineage: Eukaryota; Metazoa; Chordata; Mammalia; Primates; Hominidae
Source: RNAcentral